Molecule: long non-coding RNA, 273 nt
Filed under: Carica papaya (papaya)
Lineage: Eukaryota; Viridiplantae; Streptophyta; Magnoliopsida; Brassicales; Caricaceae
Description: long non-coding RNA (CPAP_LNC004802)
Source: RNAcentral
UUGAAGUCAUCACCCUCCCUUAUCACAAAAUUUGAAUUUUCCUCGUCCAGAUCAUGAUGUGAUUCCUCGAGCAAUGUCUCUGCAAAUUGAUCUUCCUUUGAGUUUGUUUUCUCUUCUUUAGCAGAUGGGUCUUGCAAGGAUUGCUCAAGCUUCACAGAAGUUUCAUCUGUUUCACACGUCCCUGCUGUUUCCACUUGAGCAACAUCAGGUUCAGUAUAGUUAGCCUUAAUUUCCGAUGCUGUAGUUGGCAUUACUUGUGCCACUUGAUGUUCA